AGGACUUGACAUGAAGAGAAGUCUUUGAAAGAAAGAUGUGCUAAGAACUCUUACAC
RNAcentral lists this ribosomal RNA (56 nucleotides) under uncultured organism. RNAcentral's name for it is "partial 16S ribosomal RNA". The record is from RNAcentral.